This 253-nucleotide ribosomal RNA is filed under the name uncultured bacterium. Its description in RNAcentral is "partial 16S ribosomal RNA". It matches the Rfam family "Bacterial small subunit ribosomal RNA", at positions 524 to 776 of the family's 1533-position model. The record is from RNAcentral.
UACGUAGGCAGCGAGCGUUGUUCGGAGUUACUGGGCGUAAAGAGUGCGUAGGCGGUUUUCUAAGUUUGGUGUGAAAUCUCCCGGCUCAACUGGGAGGGUGCGCCGAAGACUGGAAGGCUUGAGUAUGGGAGAGGUAAGCGGAAUUCCUGGUGUAGCGGUGAAAUGCGUAGAUAUCGGAAGGAACGCCGGUGGCGAAAGCGGCACACUGGAUCUCAACUGACGCUGAGGCACGAAAGCCAGGGGAGCGAACGGG